RNAcentral lists this ribosomal RNA (581 nucleotides) under Mycena cf. murina AG-2015. RNAcentral's name for it is "eukaryotic LSU rRNA". The stretch from base 35 to 188 matches the Rfam family "5.8S ribosomal RNA". The record is from RNAcentral. Lineage: Eukaryota; Fungi; Basidiomycota; Agaricomycetes; Agaricales; Mycenaceae.
ACGAUUGCGCUUGUCGUANUCAUUAAACCUAUACAACUUUCAGCAACGGAUCUCUUGGCUCUCCUAUCGAUGAAGAACGCAGCGAAAUGCGAUAAGUAAUGUGAAUUGCAGAAUUCAGUGAAUCAUCGAAUCUUUGAACGCACCUUGCGCCCUUUGGUAUUCCGAAGGGCAUGCCUGUUUGAGUGUCAUUAAAUUAUCAACCUUGCUCGCUUUUACCGGCUUGAGUUAGGCUUGGACUUGAGGGCUUGCUGGCUUCCUUCAGUGGACGGUCUGCUCCCUUUAAAUGCAUUAGUGGGAUCUCUUGUGGACCGUCACUUGGUGUGAUAAUUAUCUAUGCCACUUGACCUUGAAGCAAACCUUAUGGGAACCCGCUCAUAACCGUCUUCGGACAGCUUUUGACAUUUUGACCUCAAAUCAGGUAGGACUACCCGCUGAACUUAAGCAUAUCAAUAAGCGGAGGAAAAGAAACUAACAAGGAUUCCCCUAGUAACUGCGAGUGAAGCGGGAAAAGCUCAAAUUUAAAAUCUGGCGGUUCUUGUAGCCGUCCGAGUUGUAAUUUAGAGAAGUGUUAUCCGCGCUGG